RNAcentral lists this long non-coding RNA (3084 nucleotides) under Oryza sativa (Asian cultivated rice). RNAcentral describes it as "long non-coding RNA (OSAT_LNC001647)". Lineage: Eukaryota; Viridiplantae; Streptophyta; Magnoliopsida; Poales; Poaceae. The record is from RNAcentral.
UCGCACGCGCGCCCCGCCCACUGCCUUCUCUCUCACCUCACUCUCUCCCUCUCUGGCUCUCUCCCACUCCACUCUCCUCCCACUCCUCUCCUCUCCUGGCCGGCUGGCGGCGGCCCCUCCCUCCCUCUCCCUCGCUCUCCCUCGGCUGCGGGCGGGGAGAAGGGCGGCAACAGCGGCGGCGGUGGGCGACCACGGCGGUGCGCAGAUCCGGAGGCGCGCGGCAUGGGUGCUGCGGAUCCGAUGGCGGCGGCCCCUCCUUCUCCCUCGGUUGCGGGCGGGGAGAAGGGCGGUGACAGUGGCGGCGGCGUGCAGAUCCAGCGGCACGCGGCAUGGGAGCGGCGGAUCCGGCGGCGGUGGCCCCUCCCUCCCUCUCCCUCGGCUGUGGGCGGGGAGAAAGGCGGUGACAGCGACAGCGGCGGCGGCGCGUAGAUCCGGCGGCAUGGGAGCAGCGAAUCCGGCGGCAGCGGCCCCUCCCUCCCUCUCCCUCGUUCUCCCUCGGCUGCGGGCGGGGAGAAGGGUGGUGGCGGCGGGCGACCACGGCGGCGCGCGGCCCCUCCCCUACCUCCCCUUGCAGAUUCGGCAGCGGGAGGCGGUGGGACGGAGGCGGUUCUGGAGGUGCGGCGGCCGGUUUCGGCGUCAGGUGAGUUUAUUCCCCUCCCCUCCCUCUCCAUGGGCUCCCCUCCCCAUCCGGCAGAGGAGAGGGGCGUCUUCGGCCGGCGACGGGAGCGGGUGGCGGAUCCGUAGCGGCGGCGGCGGAUUAGGGUUAGGGUUUUCUUUUUCUUUUUUUUUGAUUUUUUUAUUUCUGCCCGCACGUGAUAAUCCGAUUUUCGCGUGCGGGUGAGGCACCCACAGGCGAAAAUCAUGAUUUUCCCAGACCCGCCCGCACACAAAAAUCAAAUUAGCCGCAAAAAAAUCGGUUGUGUAGUAGUGUCAGUCCUUCAGUCCCGACUCCUGAGUCCCUGAGUGGCUGAGUCCUGAGCAACUUACAAAUGCCCGCGAACAGGGUGCCGCCGCCAGUGAUAUACUGAUAUUGGCCAUGCAACGAUCCAGCUGGAUCCAUUGCACGCUAGGAAUAGGAUACACCGGGAAUCUUGGCGGAACGCUCUACGAUCCUCUGAUGUCUAUCAUCGAUCUUGCACCGCAAUGCUCGUCUGCUGCGUGAUGAUCGGUGCCGGCUGCGUGCUGUGUGUGACAGGGUGAUCAGGCCCCCUCCGUGUGUGACAGACAGAUCAACACAGCGCCCAUGAGAAGUACCGAGUACGUACGUGUGCACCCUCCGUACGUGCGUGCUUCUGUUGAGAUCCACCCAGAGGAAUUACUUGUCAAACUUUUGAGUGCUUGGUUAGUUGGUUUCGUAUUUCUUGUGUUUCAAAAUAAAUCAUUAAAUUUAUCAUAAAAUAAAUUAAUAUUUACCUUCUUAUCAUCGACCUGCAAAUUGAGAAAUUUUAUUCCUUCAAUGCCACGUGCCUAUCCAUCAAUAUAAUUAUAUAAAUUAUUUAUUAACUUUAAAUAUUUUGGUCCAUUGCCUUCCUCCCUAUUUCUAAUUUGAGAAUGUAUGGUUUAAUUUUUUUUUACAAAGGUAGUAAGGAAAAAAAACAGGAAAAAAAAUAACCACGUAGAUUUUUACGGUGACAUGUAAUGCAUUUCCCUUCCACUUCAUUCGGGGGAAAUUCCCUACCUACCUGGAAGUUUUCCCUGCCCCUAAUUGGAAACCGAGGGGAAAAUGUUCCGGCGAGGAAAAAAAAACUAAAAAUAUGAAAAAGGGAUAUUACAAAAACUGGAAAUAUAAAAAGUAUAAAACACGAAAAAUACAAAAAAAACGAAACUUGCUUGCAGAAAAUCCAGGAAAAAUAUAAAACUCCUAACAAUUCAAUGACGAAUAUAAAAAUAUCAUAACAAAUAUACAUAAAUAUGGAAAUGAGGAAUUCUUUACAUGAUCAUAAAAAACAAAAAAGUAUUUAUAAAUUAGUCCUUGAAAAUUUUAAAUGAUCAGAAAAAAAAAUCCUGGUCCUUCAAAAGUUUCGAAACCAUCAUCAACAUUACAAAUCAUGUACUCAGACUGUUUCAAACUAUAACCAUUUCUAGCAUUUAAAAUUUAUUUCAACAUAUAAGCCCUUUCACAAUUCAAAAUCUGUUCUGAAAAUAAGCACUCUAACCCUAUUUGGAGUAUUAUUUGUCACCUCUCAAUCAAAUGCUUUCCAUCUUACUUCGAGCCACUCUCUCACUCUUGUUUUCAGUUUUCUUUUUAUUUUUAGUUUUCGACAUAAUUUAUCCUCCCCUAUCUUUACCUCGAUUUCCAUUAACACACGCUUUUUAAACUACUAACGGUGUGUUCCGUGCGAAAACUUUCUAUGUUGAAGUUGAUUUAAAAUACCACAUACAUCCGUUGUCAAGUUUGUAAUAAUUAAAACCUCAUUAAUCAUAUGCUAAUAGCUAUCCCGUUUUACAUGUACCAACUUUAUGUUUAUCUUCAUGAGUUUCAAAUACAAGAUAUAUGGAUAUCAUGAGAUAGGCUACAUCAGCAUCAGCAUACAUCUAUCUCUCCUACCAAAUUGCGUACUCCUAGCAUUCAUUUUACUCAAUUCAAGAGGCUACUUCUACUCCCUCUGUCCCAUAAAAACCAAUCUAGUAUUAGAUGUAAUAAAUUCUAGUACAAUGAAUCUAGACAUAUCUAUGUCCAUAUUUUAUACUAGGAUGUACUACAUUCAAUCCUAGAUUUAUUCUUUUUUUACCAAGGGAGUACGUCAGUACUAUCAGUCAUAUAUAAUAGGGUUAAUUAGAUACGUGCCAUUAAAAAUUUACCGGUUUCGAAAUAUACUAUUACUAUUUGCGUAUUUGUAACGAUGCCACUACUAUUUGUUUGUAAUCUCAGCGAUACCACUAAGAUACGUAUUUUACAUAUAUUAGACGAAAAUGCCCUUAUCUUCAACCCCUCUCUCUCUCUUCCCUCAUCCUCUCUCCUCUCUGACCAGAAUCUCAUCGGAGCCGACGGUCCUCGUUGCUUCGGUGUUGUCGCCCAGGACUCGUCGGGCGAGCGCGGCGGUCACCGUCUCCAUCACCGACGGCUGCCACGCGUGCGCCGCC